This is a long non-coding RNA of Pogona vitticeps (central bearded dragon), 1816 nucleotides long. NCBI's taxonomy places the organism in Eukaryota, Metazoa, Chordata, Lepidosauria, Squamata, Agamidae. The record is from Ensembl.
AUGCCACCCAUGGUGGGGGAAAAAAAGCAUCGUGGUAAGUCCCAAGUUUCCCAUCUAAGUGUUCACCGCCCUCUUUUUUCUCCCCAGGCUGCAAUGGCUACCAAGGAGCCACCUGCCCCAAGUUCUGCCGCUGCGGGCGGUGAUACUCCGGCCAGCAGCACUCCUGCGAUGGCUCAGGAAGCACCGGUGGAAGCCAGCAAGCCGACUUCCCCAGACCAGGAGGGUCCCGCUCAGCCGCCGCCAGGAAUCCGGCCGCAGCUUGUGGAUAUUUCAACACCAGAACCUGGGGGAGAACUUGCCCCAGCCCUACUGGCAUGAUGGAUCUGCACACGGUGAGGGGAUGCCAAGAGCUGUGAUCUGGUGUCCACAAUGUGCCUGCAACCCAAGUUACCUCAUCCUGCACUUGAAGAGACCCCAAACUUCACCAGUCCCACCCCCCUUUUUGCUGCUGUUGAAGUCCCACUUGAAAAGAAAAAAAAUUAAACCUGAGGGGGGAAACCUGACCAAAAAAAAAGAAAAGUCACUUUGCUUUAAAAUCCUUGUGAGGGGCUUGCCUUCCCCCUCCCGCAGCUUUUGCCAGUUUGAGAGAAAGAAACUGGUUGUUGAAUCUUCAGUUAAUUUUUUCUCCCCCCGUUGUUGAAGAACACCCUGUGUGAACCAUUGCGUGCAGUUUGGGCGUCAGUAAAAAAACAAAAGCACAGACUUCUGUCUCAUCUGUGUGUGUGUGUGUGUGUGUGGUCAAGAAACCAGUCAUCGUUUAAACAGUAGAAAAAGGAGCUUGUUCACCAUUCUUCUCUCGCAAUCUGUGCCGAAAACCAUGAUCUUUAAAAAGUAAUCCUAAAACUGUUUCCAUAAGUAGGAAACUGGGUUCAUGGUAGUGACUGUUAUGUAAACGAAGGCUUGUUGAAGCCUGUACAGCAGGACCAAAUAUAUAGAAGGGAGAUCAGGAAUACCUACUGGCAGAUUUGUGGAUGGUUUGCCAUAUAUAUCCAAAGGGUUUCUUGGCUUUUGGUUCAGCACGGAAGCAACAAAAUGUUUCUUGUGCCUUAAAAGGCAGAGCUGAAACUAAGAAAGUUUCAGGUUGACGAGGAACAGUUCUGUGCAGAAUGACUGUAACCUCUGUUCAACUCGGGUGCUGAAAUGCCUGCGCCCAGUUUAUAUCUUUUGCUGGUUCUUUUGCCACGGGCAAAGGAUAUCCUGCCAGCCUGAUGUCUGCCCAGCUUUGCCCUGCCAAGCAUAGUGUGAACAAUAUCCAGGUCACAACUGAUGCUGGGUGGGGGCGGGAGAUUCAGUAUCGGUUGAGGAGAUGCUGGAGGGAACAUCCUUCCCACUAUAUAAUCAAACACGACUGGUUCCGCGGGCACGUUCUGUGGGUCAUCUAUCCUAAAGGAAGUGAACAAAAGUUCAGGAGAUGGGGCGUUAAGGUAUUGGUGCAGUCUGUUUUCUCCCUCCACCAUUCCUACGUUGAAAGGAACUGGCCCUUGUCUUCGCCUACAUCUUUCUUGGUCCCCUUGCCCAUUCUGUAAGAAGGACAGCUACAGAAUCUACUGUACAUCAGCGGGUGCAAGAGACAGAAAGACAUCAGCCUCUAAGUCACCGUUCGUAAUCCCACAUAGGAGUUGCCCACUGUUCUUAAACGCUGUCACUGCAUAUAUGUUACGUACAUAUUUUUAAUAUUUGCACACCACCUGACUUAGUGCUAAGCACAACUCGGGGCAGUUAUCAGUAACUAUAAGAAAAUCAACUCUUAACCCAAACCAAACCCUGCACAAUCAACGCCUUUUUACCGACACCAAUAAAAAUGAAACCAAAGACA